GGUAGAGGGAGAAGCAGGCUCCAUGCACCGGGAGCCUGACGUGGGAUUCGAUCCUGGGUCUCCAGGAUCGCGCCCUGGGCCAAAGGCAGGCGCCAAACCGCUGCGCCACCCAGGGAUCCCGAAUUCUGCUUUUUCAAUUCCUCCCCAGAAGAUUCUGAUGCAGGUGGUCCAUGGACCAUGCUGACAGGUCUCGUAGAUUACAGGGCACCAGCCUGCCUAAGGUAAAUUUAUCCCUAAACAGAAAUCCUUCCCUACUGGAUACUCCCAGACCUGAACCCUUUCCCCUCAAGUUUUCCUGAGGUCUCUGAGACUUUCUGCCCUUGACCAUGGCAUCAUCCAUUCAUCACAAGGAAUGGAGGCUCAGGUUGUAGGGACUGGCAAGACCUCUGUUUUGGAGUAGCACAGGCAUCCCUUCCUUGGCACCAUAACCCAACCCUGGAGAGUUUUCAUCAGGUCGCUGGGAGCCUCCAACUUCCCCUCACCAGGAGGUGAAGAAGCAUUAUCCCUGGAAAAAGCAGGCUCAUGACAUUGAGCAAGGAUGGAAACCUCUUGCUCCAAUCUCUUUUUUCUUUCUUUCCCAAAGCCUCAGGGCUGCCUGCCCCUGCCCCUCCCACCUCUGUUGCCUUUGCAGGUUCAAGUGCACCAUAAUUUCAGCACUCUUGAACAAAAUGCAGCUCAGAGGCGCUCCACCCCUACCAGUGCCCUGCACUCAGAAUCCCUGCCCACUCCGCUCCCGAGGACACCACUCUGCUUCCAGAUCCUAGAGAGCUUCCGCCAGGAUAAACAGGAGUUUGGUAACUCUUCUGCUCACAACUCUGCUUUAAGAAUCUGAGCGGGGACCUUGUUUACUGGCCCCUUCGAAGUUCUUCUAUCCUCAAACCAAAAGAAGAGGAAACAGGGUUCUGCAAGAAAGAAUCACAUUCUUAGCUUUUCCAACUGUGUCUGAAGAAAGGGUUUGGCUAUUGAGUACUUCCUGUGUGCGAGACUGUCCCAGGCACUCUGGAUAUGUGUCUUACUCUUCAGGACAACUCUAUGAAAUGUCAGCGGGAAGUCGGUUCAAAGAGAGGAAACAUCUCCCUCAAGGUCACACAGUCAAGCGCCCCUUCUUCCGCCGCUUGUGCUCCGAGGAAUCCUCGGAGCUGGAGCUGGAGCUGGAGCUGCUCCUCCUCCUGCUGCGGCCCUUGCGGCCGCCCUGGGCCCGGGACACGUCAGCGGCAGAGGCCGAGCGGCGGAUGCUGGUGGCCUGCGCUGGGAGGUCCAGCUGGACGCUGCGGACGCUUUGGAUGCUCUUGCGGUCGUCCUCCUCAGAGUCGGGCUCCAGGCUGCUCCUCUGGAACGGGACGGGUUUGUAGCUCAAGACUUCGUUGAUGGCGGCCUCCAGGUCUGGGUCCAGCUCAAGGCCACAUGCUCACCUGGAACUCUUUAAGCUGCCAUCAUCGGAAGCUGCCUUGGAAGGCCCCUUGUUUUUGGACAACCAUGACUUGACUCCGUCGACGCGGUCCUCCAGCUCUGAGUCCACAUCUGAGUCCCCCUCGCUGUGGGAUGAGGAGCAGAAAGCACACUUACGCGCUCGCUCGCUCAAUAACUUGGACCUGAACCCAGCUGCUGAGGAUGGAGCCACGGCCACCUCUGGCAUCAGCAGGACUGUGGUGAGGACCGCAUGCCCCAGCACACCUGUGUGAGUGCACGCGCAUGUGUGUGUGCACACAUGCAUGUGCGCACAUGCCCUUGCCUUGCAGUGGUCUAGAAUAUGAUCUUAAAUGUGCAUUUUAUCAGCCCUCGGAGCUCUCUACAGCCCAAGGAUGGCAGGGCUAGAACGCGCAGGGGACACAUAGUAGCGUACCCAGAAUACGAAUUUUCCUCCUUACAUUCAGGGCAGCGAAUGGGUUGAGAAGCUGGCCUCCCUGCCCUCGCCUUCCUUUUAGUUUCAAGCCUAUAGAUGAUGUUUAGGUUCUUUUCCUUAAAUAAUCAGGCCCGUAAACAAACUCCAGGGGCAGGCAGGCUCAGGGGGCAGUUGAAAUUUUAAAUGGUCGGAAUUAAACCUCGAGUCAAAUACAA
This is a long non-coding RNA of Canis lupus familiaris (dog), 2058 nucleotides long. RefSeq lists it as uncharacterized. The record is from RefSeq and is a predicted model, not a curated record. The transcript has 4 exons. Lineage: Eukaryota; Metazoa; Chordata; Mammalia; Carnivora; Canidae.